ACAUCUACCAAUGGUUGUACAUGACAGAGACCUUCUCCACCUCUUCGCUGUCCUACUAGUCAAUCCUUCUGAUUCUGAUCCUUUCCUAAAUAGUGAAAGGAUCAUGCCAGCCCACAUCAAACACCUGAUCAAGAACUUGUGAAUCUUCAGGCAGAAAAGAUGAAAACACCCGUUCAAAGUUCCAGUUCCCUGUACAUGGAACCAUGCCUGUCCUCUGUUCCACAUGUCUUCAGUCAGUUCUGGACCCUAUGACUCGGUCCCUAGUUCUACCAAGGCUCAUUAGAGUUUGCUUCAAGAAGUGGCUUCAACAGACAGAAGUGCAGGCCAGAAUGG
Notothenia coriiceps (black rockcod) is the source of this 333-nucleotide long non-coding RNA. RefSeq lists it as uncharacterized. Lineage: Eukaryota; Metazoa; Chordata; Actinopteri; Perciformes; Nototheniidae. The transcript is spliced from 3 exons. The record is from RefSeq and is a predicted model, not a curated record.